AUUGAACGCUGGCGGAAUGCUUUACACAUGCAAGUCGAACGGCAGCAUAGGUGCUUGCACCUGAUGGCGAGUGGCGAACGGGUGAGUAAUACAUCGGAACGUGCCCAGUCGUGGGGGAUAACGUAGCGAAAGUUACGCUAAUACCGCAUACGAUCUACGGAUGAAAGCGGGGGACCGUAAGGCCUCGCGCGAUUGGAGCGGCCGAUGUCAGAUUAGGUAGUUGGUGGGGUAAAGGCCCACCAAGCCAACGAUCUGUAGCUGGUCUGAGAGGACGACCAGCCACACUGGGACUGAGACACGGCCCAGACUCCUACGGGAGGCAGCAGUGGGGAAUUUUGGACAAUGGGCGCAAGCCUGAUCCAGCCAUUCCGCGUGCAGGAUGAAGGCCUUCGGGUUGUAAACUGCUUUUGUACGGAACGAAAAGCUCUGGGUUAAUACCCCGGGGUCAUGACGGUACCGUAAGAAUAAGCACCGGCUAACUACGUGCCAGCAGCCGCCGUAA
Molecule: ribosomal RNA, 502 nt
Filed under: uncultured bacterium
Lineage: Bacteria
Description: partial 16S ribosomal RNA
Rfam family: Bacterial small subunit ribosomal RNA
Source: RNAcentral